ACGGGUGAGUAACACGUGGGCAACCUGCCCUUGAGACUGGGAUAACUUCGGGAAACCGGAGCUAAUACCGGAUAAUAUAAGGAACCUCCUGGUUCCUUAUUGAAAGAUGGUUUCGGCUAUCACUUAAGGACGGGCCCGCGGCGCAUUAGCUAGUUGGUGAGGUAACGGCUCACCAAGGCGACGAUGCGUAGCCGACCUGAGAGGGUGAUCGGCCACACUGGGACUGAGACACGGCCCAGACUCCUACGGGAGGCAGCAGUAGGGAAUCUUCCACAAUGGACGAAAGUCUGAUGGAGCAACGCCGCGUGAGUGAUGAAGGCCUUCGGGUCGUAAAGCUCUGUUGUUAGGGAAGAACAAGUGCGAGAGUAACUGCUCGCACCUUGACGGUACCUAACCAGAAAGCCACGGCUAACUACGUGCCAGCAGCCGCGGUAAUACGUAGGUGGCAAGCGUUAUCCGGAAUUAUUGGGCGUAAAGCGCGCGCAGGUGGUUUCUUAAGUCUGAUGUGAAAGCCCACGGCUCAACCGUGGAGGGUCAUUGGAAACUGGGGAACUUGAGUGCAGAAGAGGAAAGUGGAAUUCCAA
This 584-nucleotide ribosomal RNA is filed under the name uncultured bacterium. RNAcentral describes it as "bacterial SSU rRNA". It matches the Rfam family "Bacterial small subunit ribosomal RNA", at positions 102 to 672 of the family's 1533-position model. The record is from RNAcentral.